Non-coding RNA from Paramuricea clavata, 262 nucleotides. NCBI's taxonomy places the organism in Eukaryota, Metazoa, Cnidaria, Anthozoa, Malacalcyonacea, Plexauridae. The record is from the annotation of a GenBank genome assembly.
GGCAGCCAUAACCCUCUAACCCAAACCAGAAAAGAUCUAAUAAACAAUUUGAGAAUUGAAAGAAAGUCGGAAAAUUUUUUAAAAAAUUUUAAAAAUUUCUUAGUCAAACAAAAAACAGUCGGUCCUACUUUCGAAAACAAAUCAAUACGGACCUCGUUUAAUUAACUUCGCACACACACACACACACACACACACACACACACACACACACACACACACACACACACACACACACACACACACACACACACACACAUCUUUA